This 274-nucleotide ribosomal RNA is filed under the name uncultured bacterium. RNAcentral describes it as "partial 16S ribosomal RNA". It matches the Rfam family "Bacterial small subunit ribosomal RNA", at positions 523 to 796 of the family's 1533-position model. The record is from RNAcentral.
AUACGGAGGGUGCAAGCGUUAUUCGGAAUCACUGGGCGUAAAGGACGUGUAGGCGGGUUGGCAAGUCAGAUGUGAAAUCCUACAGCUUAACUGUAGAACUGCAUUUGAAACUGCUAACCUAGAGUAUGGGAGGGGGAGAUGGAAUUAGUGGUGUAGGGGUGAAAUCCGUAGAUAUCACUAGGAAUACCGAAAGCGAAGGCGAUCUCCUGGAACAUAACUGACGCUAAGGCGUGAAAGCGUGGGGAGCAAACAGGAUUAGAUACCCUAGUAGUCC